AGUGAACGCUGGCGGCAGGCCUAACACAUGCAAGUCGAACGGCAGCACAGAGGAGCUUGCUCCUUGGGUGGCGAGUGGCGGACGGGUGGAGGAAUACAUCGGAAUCUGCCUAGGUCGUGGGGGAUAAGACGUAGGGAAACUUACGCUAAUACCGCAUACGACCUACGGGUGAAAGCGGGGAUCGCAAGACCUCGCGCGAUUAGAUGAGCCGAUGUCCGAUUAGCUAGUUGGCGGGGUAAUGGCCCACCAAGGCGACGAUCGGUAGCUGGUCUGAGAGGAUGAUCAGCCACACUGGAACUGAGACACGGUCCAGACUCCUACGGGAGGCAGCAGUGGGGAAUAUUGGACAAUGGGCGCAAGCCUGAUCCAGCCAUGCCGCGUGGGUGAAGAAGGCC
RNAcentral lists this ribosomal RNA (395 nucleotides) under uncultured bacterium. RNAcentral's name for it is "bacterial SSU rRNA". It matches the Rfam family "Bacterial small subunit ribosomal RNA", at positions 30 to 416 of the family's 1533-position model. The record is from RNAcentral.